CAGCAGCCGCGGUAACACGAAGGGGGCUAGCGUUGCUCGGAAUGACUGGGCGUAAAGGGCGCGUAGGCGGCUUGUAUAGUCAGAUGUGAAAUUCCUGGGCUCAACCUGGGGACUGCAUUUGAUACGUGCAGGCUUGAGUGUGGAAGAGGGUCGUGGAAUUCCCAGUGUAGAGGUGAAAUUCGUAGAUAUUGGGAAGAACACCGGUGGCGAAGGCGGCUCACUGGACCGACACUGACGCUGAGGCGCGAAAGCGUGGGGAGCAAACAGGAUUAGAUACCCGGGUAGUCCCUGUCUCUUAUAC
This 301-nucleotide ribosomal RNA is filed under the name uncultured bacterium. RNAcentral's name for it is "partial 16S ribosomal RNA". It matches the Rfam family "Bacterial small subunit ribosomal RNA", at positions 509 to 807 of the family's 1533-position model. The record is from RNAcentral.